GGUCUAUGAUGUCAAGUAAAAGGUAUGAUUGCACAGGCUGCCAGUCCAGGAGUUUGCAACUCACAGAAACCUCCAUUUCUGCCAUCAUGCUCCAGCAGUGCUAUGAUUGGAUCUGGAGGUUUCUGACAGUAGUGAAUAUUCUCUGUGUUCCCUGAAGUGAUGGGCAUAUAGUGCAAACAAAUAUUCAACAUAAAGCAAGAAAUGAGUUGUUGAUCCAGGAAUUGGCUCCAAGAUGCAUGAUCACAAGUUCUUCUGAGACC
Protopterus annectens (West African lungfish) is the source of this 260-nucleotide non-coding RNA. RefSeq annotates it as small Cajal body-specific RNA 6. The record is from RefSeq and is a predicted model, not a curated record. Lineage: Eukaryota; Metazoa; Chordata; Ceratodontiformes; Protopteridae. The transcript has a single exon.